This 500-nucleotide ribosomal RNA is filed under the name uncultured bacterium. RNAcentral describes it as "partial 16S ribosomal RNA". It matches the Rfam family "Bacterial small subunit ribosomal RNA", at positions 28 to 507 of the family's 1533-position model. The record is from RNAcentral.
GACGAACGCUGGCGGCGUGCCUAAUACAUGCAAGUCGAGCGGACUGAUUAAGAGCUUGCUCUUAUGACGUUAGCGGCGGACGGGUGAGUAACACGUGGGCAACCUGCCCUGUAGAUCGGGAUAACACCGAGAAAUCGGUGCUAAUACCGGGUAAUAUCUGAGAUCACAUGAUCUUAGGUUAAAAGAUGGCUCCGGCUAUCACUACAGGAUGGGCCCGCGGCGCAUUAGCUAGUUGGUAAGGUAAUGGCUUACCAAGGCGACGAUGCGUAGCCGACCUGAGAGGGUGAUCGGCCACACUGGGACUGAGACACGGCCCAGACUCCUACGGGAGGCAGCAGUAGGGAAUCUUCCGCAAUGGACGAAAGUCUGACGGAGCAACGCCGCGUGAGUGAUGAAGGGUUUCGGCUCGUAAAGCUCUGUUGUUAGGGAAGAAACAGUACCGAACGAACUAUGUCGGUACCUUGACGGUACCUAACCAGAAAGCCACGGCUAACUACGUG